UACAGAGGUGGCAAGCGUUGUUCGGAAUUACUGGGCGUAAAGGGCGCGUAGGCGGUCUUGUCAGUCCCUUGUGAAAUCCCCCGGCUCAACUGGGGAACUGCACGGGAAACAGCAGGGCUUGAGUUCGGGAGAGGGAAGCGGAAUUCCGGGUGUAGCGGUGAAAUGCGUAGAUAUCCGGAGGAACACCGGUGGCGAAGGCGGCUUCCUGGACCGAUACUGGCGCUGAGGCGCGAAAGCUAGGGGAGCAAACGGG
Molecule: ribosomal RNA, 253 nt
Filed under: uncultured bacterium
Lineage: Bacteria
Description: partial 16S ribosomal RNA
Rfam family: Bacterial small subunit ribosomal RNA
Source: RNAcentral